RNAcentral lists this ribosomal RNA (800 nucleotides) under Papurana florensis (Flores frog). RNAcentral's name for it is "partial large subunit ribosomal RNA". It matches the Rfam family "Bacterial large subunit ribosomal RNA", at positions 1549 to 2579 of the family's 2925-position model. Lineage: Eukaryota; Metazoa; Chordata; Amphibia; Anura; Ranidae. The record is from RNAcentral.
ACCCUUCACCAAUACUGAACCAUUUUAUAUCCAUAUAAAAAAUAUUAUGCUAGAACUAGUAACAAGAAAUUGCUUUUCUCCAAAAUGUAAGCAUAAACCAAAACGGACCCCCCAUUGGUGCUUAACGCAAAUGACUCUAAUAUAACAACUUUUACCUAGAAAACCUUAUAAUUUCGAGCGUUAACCUUACACUAGAACAUCUCAGGAAAGAUUAAAAGAGAAAGAAGGAACUCGGCAAACCUUAACCCCGCCUGUUUACCAAAAACAUCGCCUCUUGAAUAUAUAAGAGGUCCAGCCUGCCCAGUGACAAAGUUCAACGGCCGCGGUACCCUAACCGUGCAAAGGUAGCAUAAUCACUUGUUCUUUAAAUAGGGACUAGUAUCAAUGGCAUCACGAGGGUCAUACUGUCUCCUUUCUCCAAUCAGUGAAACUGAUCUCCCCGUGAAGAAGCGGGGAUAUAACUAUAAGACGAGAAGACCCCAUGGAGCUUUAAGCAAUGUAUUCACCACUGUACCCUCGUAUCAACUUAACACAAAUCCCUGAAUACUAGCUUUAGGUUGGGGGGACCGCGGAGUAUAACCUAACCUCCACGACAAACGGGCCACGCCCUAAUCUAAGAGUUACAACUCUAAGAAUCAACAAACUGAUGUUUCAUGACCCGAUAACUCGAUCAACGAACCAAGUUACCCUGGGGAUAACAGCGCAAUCUACUUCAAGAGCCCUUAUCGACAAGUGGGUUUACGACCUCGAUGUUGGAUCAGGGUGUCCCAGUGGUGCAGCCGCUACUAAUGGUUCGUUUG